UGAAGAGAAGAGCUGUUCUUUUCACUGGGUA
This 31-nucleotide non-coding RNA is filed under the name Mus musculus (house mouse). The record is from RNAcentral. Lineage: Eukaryota; Metazoa; Chordata; Mammalia; Rodentia; Muridae.